UGAGGAAUAUUGGUCAAUGGACGAGAGUCUGAACCAGCCAAGUAGCGUGAAGGAUGACUGCCCUAUGGGUUGUAAACUUCUUUUAUAAGGGAAUAAAGUGAGGGACGUGUCCCUUUUUGUAUGUACCUUAUGAAUAAGGAUCGGCUAACUCCGUGCCAGCAGCCGCGGUAAUACGGAGGAUCCAAGCGUUAUCCGGAUUUAUUGGGUUUAAAGGGAGCGUAGGUUGACAUAUAAGUCAGCUGUGAAAGUUUACGGCUCAACCGUGAAAUUGCAGUUGAUACUGUAUGUCUUGAGUGUACAAGAGGUGGGCGGAAUUCGUGGUGUAGCGGUGAAAUGCUUAGAUAUCACGAAGAACUCCAAUUGCGGAGGCAGCUCACUGGGGUACAACUGACACUGAGGCUCGAAAGUGUGGGUAUCAAACAG
This 423-nucleotide ribosomal RNA is filed under the name uncultured bacterium. RNAcentral describes it as "bacterial SSU rRNA". It matches the Rfam family "Bacterial small subunit ribosomal RNA", at positions 355 to 775 of the family's 1533-position model. The record is from RNAcentral.